This is a long non-coding RNA of Rhineura floridana, 244 nucleotides long. RefSeq lists it as uncharacterized. The transcript is spliced from 3 exons. Lineage: Eukaryota; Metazoa; Chordata; Lepidosauria; Squamata; Rhineuridae. The record is from RefSeq and is a predicted model, not a curated record.
AUCCACCACUUCCAUUAGCACACUGGAUAGAAUCCAUCGAGCAGGACUAUGCUGGCUGAGGCUGAUGGGAGCUGGAAUCCAACAACUUCUGCAGGGUCACAGGUUCCCCAACCCUACUGCAGAGGGCAGCCCCACAGAGGAAGACAAUGUCUGAAAACUUUCAUCCUUCAGCCAUCACCUUUCUCCUGCCUGGACUGCACUAGGCACACAGUUUAUUUGCACAAUGCCUGAACCGUAAGUAAAA